AUUAAUCAAUUUGUAUGUGAUAUACUUAAAAAAUUGAUAAUUUUUAUAAGAAAAUUUGAAAACAUCGUAUUGGGAUCCGAAACAAAUAUAUGAUUAGCAGCUCUUUACCACCGCCGGCCAUCCAAUCUCGCCGUCGAACAUGGUCAGUUAUUUUCCCGCGCAUCUCGUUCAUCUAUGAUUCGCAGCUUUUCUCCAGAGUCGUCGAUCGAUUUCCCCUGUCCUCUGAAUUGAACCAUAUCUUCGUAUGAUUCCGUCGUCGGAACUCGAUCUGAUCGAGUUGUUUUUUGAAUUUGAAUUUGAAUUUGGCGAUGAGCUGUUCCUGUUUAAAUUUGAAUUUGAAUUUGGUUUGUUUGUAAUGAAGACUACGUCAAAGAGGCUUGCGGAUAGGAAGACAUCCAAAUUCCACAUGAACAUUACAAAGAGAGGAGCUGUUCCUGAUACAAACACAAAGAAGGAUUACCCAGUCGGCCCUUUCCUCCUCGGAUUCUUCGUGUUCGUCGUCAUCGGAUCAUGUAAGACUCCAAUCUUACCACAAUCUCGAUCACGAUCUCUUCAACUGCUAAUCGUAAAGUUUCUUUCAUUUUGUGUAAACAGCUCUGUUCCAAAUUAUCAGGACGGCGAACAAGCGGAGGCAUGGCUUAAAGAUCGUUUAUUUGGUUCCUUUUUUCAUUGUUCUUAGCCUGAAGAGUAAAGUUUAGAGUAAGUUGAUUCGUGGACUUUGAUUUCCGAAAUCUAUAUCAACAGUUUCAGUUGAAAUCCAAUAGUUAUUCGUUGAGCAAAUUCAUGGUUAUUACACGGUUCUUCAUUCAAAGUUAAACAUGCUCGGAUGAGAUUUUCGGAUGACAUAUUUGUACAUAACUGGUUACAUUAAUAAGAACUAGCUACACAAGCAAUACCUAUGAUGAAUU
This 908-nucleotide long non-coding RNA is filed under the name Linum usitatissimum (flax). RNAcentral describes it as "long non-coding RNA (LUSI_LNC003686)". Lineage: Eukaryota; Viridiplantae; Streptophyta; Magnoliopsida; Malpighiales; Linaceae. The record is from RNAcentral.